RNAcentral lists this ribosomal RNA (497 nucleotides) under uncultured bacterium. Its description in RNAcentral is "partial 16S ribosomal RNA". It matches the Rfam family "Bacterial small subunit ribosomal RNA", at positions 28 to 507 of the family's 1533-position model. The record is from RNAcentral.
GACGAACGCUGGCGGCGUGCCUAAUACGUGCAAGUUGAGCGCUGAAGGUUGGUACUUGUACCGACUGGAUGAGCAGCGAACGGGUGAGUAACGCGUGGGGAAUCUGCCUUUGAGCGGGGGACAACAUUUGGAAACGAAUGCUAAUACCGCAUAAAAACUUUAAACACAAGUUUUAAGUUUGAAAGAUGCAAUUGCAUCACUCAAAGAUGAUCCCGCGUUGUAUUAGCUAGUUGGUGAGGUAAAGGCUCACCAAGGCGAUGAUACAUAGCCGACCUGAGAGGGUGAUCGGCCACAUUGGGACUGAGACACGGCCCAAACUCCUACGGGAGGCAGCAGUAGGGAAUCUUCGGCAAUGGACGAAAGUCUGACCGAGCAACGCCGCGUGAGUGAAGAAGGUUUUCGGAUCGUAAAACUCUGUUGGUAGAGAAGAACGUUGGUGAGAGUGGAAAGCUCAUCAAGUGACGGUAACUACCCAGAAAGGGACGGCUAACUACGUG